UACGUAGGGGGCGAGCGUUGUCCGGAAUCAUUGGGCGUAAAGAGCGUGUAGGCGGGCCGGAAGGUCUGGUGUGAAAGCCCGGGGCUCAACCCCGGAGGGUCGCUGGAAACCAACGGCCUUGAGUCCGGAAGAGGAGAGUGGAAUUCCUGGUGUAGCGGUGGAAUGCGCAGAUAUCAGGAGGAACACCAAUGGCGAAGGCAGCUCUCUGGUACGUGACUGACGCUGAGACGCGAAAGCGUGGGUAGCAAACAGG
RNAcentral lists this ribosomal RNA (253 nucleotides) under uncultured bacterium. Its description in RNAcentral is "partial 16S ribosomal RNA". It matches the Rfam family "Bacterial small subunit ribosomal RNA", at positions 524 to 776 of the family's 1533-position model. The record is from RNAcentral.